This 67-nucleotide transfer RNA is filed under the name Challia fletcheri. RNAcentral describes it as "tRNA-Ser". The record is from RNAcentral. Lineage: Eukaryota; Metazoa; Arthropoda; Insecta; Dermaptera; Pygidicranidae.
AAAGUUAAAAGGUUGUUAAGGAGCUGCUAACUUCUUAUAAUUAGUGGUUCGAUUCCAUUAUGCUUUU